GGUCAAGUGACUAAGCGUGCACGGUGGAUGCCUUGGCAGUCAGAGGCGAUGAAGGACGUGGUAAUCUGCGAUAAGCGUUGGUAAGCCGAUAAACAGGCAUUGACCCAGCGAUUUCCGAAUGGGGAAACCCACUCACAUAAGUGAGUAUUCCGGAACUGAAUACAUAGGUUCCGGGAGGCGAACCCGGGGAACUGAAACAUCUAAGUACCCGGAGGAAAAGAAAUCAAUUGAGAUUCCCCCAGUAGCGGCGAGCGAACGGGGAUUAGCCCUUAAGCUUAUGAUGGUUUAGCGGAACGCUCUGGAAAGUGCGGCAACAAAGGGUGAAAGCCCCGUACGCGAAAGGCCAUUGUAAGUGAAAUCGAGUAGGUCGGGACACGAGAAAUCUUGACUGAACCGUCUUCGGACAAGGGGGGACCAUCCUCCAAGGCUAAAUACUCCUGACUGACCGAUAGUGAACCAGUACCGUGAGGGAAAGGCGAAAAGAACCCCGUUGAGGGGAGUGAAAUAGAUCCUGAAACCGUGUACGUACAAGCAGUGGGAGCCUGACCACUUAAUCAUUUUGAUAAGUGGUUUAUGUCGCUUAAUCCAGAGUGAUUAAGUGGUCAGGUGACUGCGUACCUUUUGUAUAAUGGGUCAGCGACUUACAUUCUGUGGCAAGGUUAACCGCAUAGGGUAGCCGUAGGGAAACCGAGUCUUAAUAGGGCGCCAUAGUCGCAGGGUGUAGACCCGAAACCGGGCGAUCUAGCCAUGAGCAGGUUGAAGAUCAGGUAACACUGAUUGGAGGACCGAACCCACCGUCGUUGAAAAGCCGGGGGAUGACUUGUGGCUAGGAGUGAAAGGCUAAUCAAGCCCGGAGAUAGCUGGUUCUCCUCGAAAGCUAUUUAGGUAGCGCCUCGUGUCUCACCAUUGGGGGUAGAGCACUGUUUGGGCUAGGGGGUCAUCCCGACUUACCAACCCCAUGCAAACUCCGAAUACCAAUGAGUGCAAUCACGGGAGACACACGGCGGGUGCUAACGUCCGUCGUGGAAAGGGAAACAACCCAGACCGUCAGCUAAGGUCCCCAAGUAAUAGUUAAGUGGGAAACGAUGUGAGAAGGCCCAGACAGCCAGGAGGUUGGCUUAGAAGCAGCCACCCUUUAAAGAAAGCGUAAUAGCUCACUGGUCGAGUCGGCUCGCGCGGAAGAUGUAACGGGGCUCAAACUAUUCACCGAAGCUACGGGUACCUGACCACUCACGAGUGGUCAGGUGCGGUAGAGGAGCGUCCUGUAAGCCGUUGAAGGUCAAGCCGGGAGGCAGGCUGGAGGUAUCAGGAGUGCGAAUGCUGACAUGAGUAACGAUAAAGGGGGUGAGAGGCCCCCUCGCCGGAAGACCAAGGGUUCCUGCGCAACGCUAAUCGGCGCAGGGUGAGUCGGCCCCUAAGGUGAGGUCGAAAGACGUAAUCGAUGGGAAACGGAUUAAUAUUUCCGUACCCCUUUUGACUGCGAUGGAGUGACGGAGAAGGCUAGGCCAGCAAGGUGAUGGUUAUCCUUGUUUAAGGUCGUAGGCUGAGGGUUCAGGCAAAUCCGGACCCUCAAGGCCGAGAACCGAUGACGACUGAUCUUUAAGAUCGGGAAGUGGUCGAUGCCAGGCUUCCAGGAAAAACUUCUAAGCUUCAGGUCAAAAGGGACCGUACCCCAAACCGACACAGGUGGUCAGGUAGAGAAUACCAAGGCGCUUGAGAGAACUCGGGUGAAGGAACUAGGCAAAAUGGUACCGUAACUUCGGGAGAAGGUACGCCCCCGCCGGUGAUCGGACUUGCUCCGUAAGCUAGUGGGGGUCGCAGAGACCAGUUGGCUGCGACUGUUUAUUAAAAACACAGCACUGUGCAAACACGAAAGUGGACGUAUACGGUGUGACGCCUGCCCGGUGCCGGAAGGUUAAUUGAUGGGGUUACCUCACCACCAAAUUGCUCUUAUGUACUACAUAUAUGUGAUUCAAAGCUUACUAUGAAGCAUAUCAAGUCAAAGAGUUUGCGAGAGUUCGCGAAGCUAAACUAAAGCGCAACAAAAGAAUGCGUCAGAUGUUAAUGCAACGUGUGCGAGAGCAAUUUGGUGGUGAGGGAAGCUCUUGAUCGAAGCCCCGGUAAACGGCGGCCGUAACUAUAACGGUCCUAAGGUAGCGAAAUUCCUUGUCGGGUAAGUUCCGACCUGCACGAAUGGCGUAACGAUGGCCAAGCUGUCUCCACCCGAGACUCAGUGAAAUUGAAAUCGCUGUUAAGAUGCAGUGUAUCCGCGGCUAGACGGAAAGACCCCGUGAACCUUUACUAUAGCUUCACAGUGGAUCUUGAUGUUGCUUGUGUAGGAUAGGUGGGAGGCUUUGAAGCGUGGACGCCAGUUUGCGUGGAGCCAACCUUGAAAUACCACCCUGGCAAUAUUGAGGUUCUAACUCAGGUCCCUUACCGGGAUCGAGGACAUUGUGUGGUGGGUAGUUUGACUGGGGCGGUCUCCUCCCAAAGAGUAACGGAGGAGCACGAAGGUGCGCUAAGUACGGUCGGACAUCGUACGGUUAGUGUAAAGGCACAAGCGCGCUUGACUGCGAGAGGUACAUCUCGAGCAGGUACGAAAGUAGGUCUUAGUGAUCCGGUGGUUCUGAAUGGAAGGGCCAUCGCUCAACGGAUAAAAGGUACUCCGGGGAUAACAGGCUGAUACCGCCCAAGAGUUCACAUCGACGGCGGUGUUUGGCACCUCGAUGUCGGCUCAUCACAUCCUGGGGCUGAAGCCGGUCCCAAGGGUAUGGCUGUUCGCCAUUUAAAGUGGUACGCGAGCUGGGUUUAGAACGUCGUGAGACAGUUCGGUCCCUAUCUGCCGUGGACGUUGGAAGUUUGAGGAGAGCUGCUCCUAGUACGAGAGGACCGGAGUGGACGAACCACUGGUGUUCGGGUUGUGUCGCCAGACGCAUUGCCCGGUAGCUAUGUUCGGACAGGAUAACCGCUGAAAGCAUCUAAGCGGGAAGCCCCCUUCAAGAUGAGACUUCCCUGACUCCCAGAGAGUCCUGAAGAGCCGUCAAAGACUAUGACGUUGAUAGGCUGGGUGUGUAAGCGUUGUGAGGCGUUGAGCUAACCAGUACUAAUGACUCGUGCGGCUUGACCAU
This 3128-nucleotide ribosomal RNA is filed under the name Candidatus Thiodiazotropha endolucinida. RNAcentral's name for it is "23S ribosomal RNA". It matches the Rfam family "Bacterial large subunit ribosomal RNA". The record is from RNAcentral. Lineage: Bacteria; Pseudomonadati; Pseudomonadota; Gammaproteobacteria; Chromatiales; Sedimenticolaceae. RNAcentral also lists the same sequence under 1 other name.